This 19-nucleotide small nuclear RNA is filed under the name Arabidopsis thaliana (thale cress). Its description in RNAcentral is "snRNA_09795". Lineage: Eukaryota; Viridiplantae; Streptophyta; Magnoliopsida; Brassicales; Brassicaceae. The record is from RNAcentral.
UCCAAUAAAUGUCUCACAC